UUUUUAAGAAAGCCUGUUACCUCCUCUCACUCUCUGUGUUUGUCCCUCUCUUACCAUGUGGCUUGCCAGCAUCCCUUCCCCUUCUGCUAUGACUGGAAGCUUCCUGAGGCCCUCACCAGCCACAGAUGCUAGUGCCAUGCUUCUUGUGCAGCCUGCAGAACGGAUCCAGAUCUGUUUGAAGAGGAAAGCAAAUGGCAGAGCAUCUCACCUCUAGACCAACUGACCUUUGCGUCAGCAUCCAUCAGUGUUCAUUACAGGACAUGGUGCCCACAACAGGUCAGGAAACCAGGUAGACUCUGAUUGAACAAUGCAAGAGGAAGAGAGGAUUCUCAUGUGUGUGGAAUAUGAAUGAGGUCAAGGGUGAUAUGACUAACAGAGGCCUCUGCAGCCACUCAGUCUUUGGGUCACCAUCAUCACUGAGUGACCUUGAGAGUCACUCUACCACCACGAGCCUCGAUUGCUUCAUCUGUAAAAUGGCCAUAAAAGCUUGUAUUUAUAGAACUCUGAUUUUUGCUGGGCGACAUGCCAAAAACGUCACGUGCUUCAACUUCUAUCUUCACAAUAAGUCCAGGAAGCAGGUUCUAAAAUUACAUUUAUUUCUUUCUCUAUCUCUCUCUUUUUAACAAUUGGCCCUGUCUCCCCAAGUUGAUGAACUGCUAGAAGGCAGUUCAUCCCUUAAUCCCAAACACCAGGUGGAGAGCAGAUAACAACAGAAGGUUUCAUCUUCUUUGGGGUGAACCCGAG
Molecule: long non-coding RNA, 744 nt
Filed under: Homo sapiens (human)
Lineage: Eukaryota; Metazoa; Chordata; Mammalia; Primates; Hominidae
Description: HSALNT0276502
Source: RNAcentral